RNAcentral lists this ribosomal RNA (681 nucleotides) under Escherichia coli. Its description in RNAcentral is "partial 23S ribosomal RNA". It matches the Rfam family "Bacterial large subunit ribosomal RNA", at positions 2240 to 2915 of the family's 2925-position model. The record is from RNAcentral. Lineage: Bacteria; Pseudomonadati; Pseudomonadota; Gammaproteobacteria; Enterobacterales; Enterobacteriaceae.
CCGGGUUGCGGACAGUGUCUGGUGGGUAGUUUGACUGGGGCGGUCUCCUCCUAAAGAGUAACGGAGGAGCACGAAGGUUGGCUAAUCCUGGUCGGACAUCAGGAGGUUAGUGCAAUGGCAUAAGCCAGCUUGACUGCGAGCGUGACGGCGCGAGCAGGUGCGAAAGCAGGUCAUAGUGAUCCGGUGGUUCUGAAUGGAAGGGCCAUCGCUCAACGGAUAAAAGGUACUCCGGGGAUAACAGGCUGAUACCGCCCAAGAGUUCAUAUCGACGGCGGUGUUUGGCACCUCGAUGUCGGCUCAUCACAUCCUGGGGCUGAAGUAGGUCCCAAGGGUAUGGCUGUUCGCCAUUUAAAGUGGUACGCGAGCUGGGUUUAGAACGUCGUGAGACAGUUCGGUCCCUAUCUGCCGUGGGCGCUGGAGAACUGAGGGGGGCUGCUCCUAGUACGAGAGGACCGGAGUGGACGCAUCACUGGUGUUCGGGUUGUCAUGCCAAUGGCACUGCCCGGUAGCUAAAUGCGGAAGAGAUAAGUGCUGAAAGCAUCUAAGCACGAAACUUGCCCCGAGAUGAGUUCUCCCUGACUCCUUGAGAGUCCUGAAGGAACGUUGAAGACGACGACGUUGAUAGGCCGGGUGUGUAAGCGCAGCGAUGCGUUGAGCUAACCGGUACUAAUGAACCGUGAG